UACGUAGGGUGCGAGCGUUGUCCGGAAUUAUUGGGCGUAAAGGGCUCGUAGGCGGUCUGUCGCGUCUGCUGUGAAAACUCAGGGCUUAACCCUGAGCUUGCAGUGGGUACGGGCAGACUAGAGUGCGGUAGGGGAGACUGGAAUUCCUGGUGUAGCGGUGAAAUGCGCAGAUAUCAGGAGGAAUACCGGUGGCGAAGGCGGGUCUCUGGGCCGUAACUGACGCUGAGGAGCGAAAGCAUGGGGAGCGAACAGG
RNAcentral lists this ribosomal RNA (253 nucleotides) under uncultured bacterium. Its description in RNAcentral is "partial 16S ribosomal RNA". It matches the Rfam family "Bacterial small subunit ribosomal RNA", at positions 524 to 776 of the family's 1533-position model. The record is from RNAcentral.